AUCAACUUUCGAUGGUAGGAUAGAGGCCUACCAUGGUGGUAACGGGUAACGGGGUGUUAGGGCACGACACCGGAGAGGGAGCCUGAGAAACGGCUACCACAUCCAAGGAUGGCAGCAGGCGCGCAAAUUACCCAAUCCCGACACGGGGAGGUAGUGACAAUAAAUAACAAUACGGGGUUCUUUCGGAUUUCGUAAUUGGAAUGAGUACAAUUUAAAUCUCUUAACGAGGAACAAUUGGAGGGCAAGUCUGGUGCCAGCAGCCGCGGUAAUUCCAGCUCCAAUAGCGUAUAUUAAAGUUGCUGCAGUUAAAAAGCUCGUAGUUGAAUUUCGGGACCAUCAUGUCGGUCGUGCCUCGGUACGUACUGGCAUUGUUGGUUUCUCCCUUCUGACGAACCAUGAUGUCAUUUAUUUGGUGUUGUGGGGAAUCAGGACUGUUACUUUGAAAAAAUUAGAGUGUUUAAAGCAGGCUCACGCUUGAAUACAUUAGCAUGGAAUAAUGAAAUAGGACGUUUGAUUCUAUUUUGUUGGUUUCUAGGAUCGACGUAAUGAUUAAUAGGGAUAGUUGGGGGCAUUAGUAUUCAAUUGUCAGAGGUGAAAUUCUUGGAUUUAUUGAAGACUAACUACUGCGAAAGCAUUUGCCAAGGAUGUUUUCAUUAAUCAAGAACGAAAGUUAGGGGAUCGAAGACGAUCAGAUACCGUCGUAGUCUUAACCAUAAACUAUGCCGACUAGGGAUCGGGCGGUGUUUUUUACUUGACUCGCUCGGCACCUUACGGGAAACCAAAGUGUUUGGGUUC
This 795-nucleotide small RNA is filed under the name uncultured Glomus. Its description in RNAcentral is "SSU rRNA". It matches the Rfam family "Eukaryotic small subunit ribosomal RNA", at positions 314 to 1114 of the family's 1831-position model. Lineage: Eukaryota; Fungi; Glomeromycota; Glomeromycetes; Glomerales; Glomeraceae. The record is from RNAcentral.